This 232-nucleotide ribosomal RNA is filed under the name uncultured bacterium. RNAcentral describes it as "partial 16S ribosomal RNA". It matches the Rfam family "Bacterial small subunit ribosomal RNA", at positions 118 to 350 of the family's 1533-position model. The record is from RNAcentral.
UGGGCAACCUGCCCCUCUCUCUGGGAUAACCCCGGGAAACCGGAGCUAAUACCGGAUACUCCGGCUGGAUCGCAUAGUCCGGCCGGGAAAGGUCCGCCGGAGAGGGAUGGGCCCGCGGCCUAUCAGCUUGUUGGUGGGGUAGCGGCCUACCAAGGCGACGGCGGGUAGCUGGCCUGAGAGGACGACCAGCCACACUGGAACUGAGACACGGCCCAGACUCCUACGGGAGGCA